GAGAAAACGUGAGGCUGAGGUCGAAAGUAGAAUUCCUUGAAGGUGGAUUCUCUGGACCAGUCCGCCAUUCUCAUAAGGUCUUCCAGGCGUGCCCCCGAAGAGGCCAUAGAAGUGGCUGAAGCCCCACGUGUGGAGUGGGCGCUAAAAAUGGAUGUGUCUACACCCGCCUGUGACAUGACCCACUUCACCCAACGAGCCAGAGUCGUGCUGGAUACUGGGGAGAAGGGUUGACGGAUUGAGAGGAAAAGUUGAGGAGUUGAAGCCGACCGAU
Molecule: non-coding RNA, 271 nt
Organism: Pelobates cultripes (western spadefoot toad)
Lineage: Eukaryota; Metazoa; Chordata; Amphibia; Anura; Pelobatidae
Source: the annotation of a GenBank genome assembly